RNAcentral lists this ribosomal RNA (468 nucleotides) under uncultured bacterium. Its description in RNAcentral is "partial 16S ribosomal RNA". It matches the Rfam family "Bacterial small subunit ribosomal RNA", at positions 28 to 523 of the family's 1533-position model. The record is from RNAcentral.
GAUGAACGCUGGCGGCGUGCCUAACACAUGCAAGUCGAGCGAUCUUCUUCGGAAGAGAGCGGCGGACGGGUGAGUAACGCGUGGGUAACCUGCCCUGUACACACGGAUAACAUACCGAAAGGUAUGCUAAUACGAGUUAAUAUGCUUUUAUCGCAUGGUAGAAGUAUCAAAGCUCCGGCGGUACAGGAUGGACCCGCGUCUGAUCAGCUAGUUGGUAAGGUAAUGGCUUACCAAGGCGACGAUCAGUAGCCGACCUGAGAGGGUGAUCGGCCACAUUGGAACUGAGACACGGUCCAAACUCCUACGGGAGGCAGCAGUGGGGAAUAUUGCACAAUGGGCGAAAGCCUGAUGCAGCAACGCCGCGUGAGCGAUGAAGGCCUUCGGGUCGUAAAGCUCUGUCCUCGAGGAAGAUAAUGACGGUACUUGAGGAGGAAGCCCCGGCUAACUACGUGCCAGCCGCCGCAGUAA